RNAcentral lists this ribosomal RNA (575 nucleotides) under uncultured bacterium. RNAcentral's name for it is "partial 16S ribosomal RNA". It matches the Rfam family "Bacterial small subunit ribosomal RNA", at positions 355 to 920 of the family's 1533-position model. The record is from RNAcentral.
UGGGGAAUAUUGCACAAUGGGCGCAAGCCUGAUGCAGCCAUGCCGCGUGUGUGAAGAAGGCCUUCGGGUUGUAAAGCACUUUCAGCGAGGAGGAAGGUGGUGAGCUUAAUACGCUCAUCAAUUGACGUUACUCGCAGAAGAAGCACCGGCUAACUCCGUGCCAGCAGCCGCGGUAAUACGGAGGGUGCAAGCGUUAAUCGGAAUUACUGGGCGUAAAGCGCACGCAGGCGGUUUGUUAAGUCAGAUGUGAAAUCCCCGGGCUCAACCUGGGAACUGCAUUUGAAACUGGCAAGCUAGAGUCUCGUAGAGGGGGGUAGAAUUCCAGGUGUAGCGGUGAAAUGCGUAGAGAUCUGGAGGAAUACCGGUGGCGAAGGCGGCCCCCUGGACGAAGACUGACGCUCAGGUGCGAAAGCGUGGGGCAGCAAACAGGAUUAGAUACCCUGGUAGUCCAGCGCUGUAAACGAUGUCGAUUUGGAGGUUGUGCCCUUGAGGCGUGGCUUCCGGAGCUAACGCGUUAAAUCGACCGCCUGGGGAGUACGGCCGCAAGGUUAAAACUUAAAGGAAUUGACGGGGUC